This 253-nucleotide ribosomal RNA is filed under the name uncultured bacterium. Its description in RNAcentral is "partial 16S ribosomal RNA". It matches the Rfam family "Bacterial small subunit ribosomal RNA", at positions 524 to 776 of the family's 1533-position model. The record is from RNAcentral.
UACAGAGGUCUCAAGCGUUGUUCGGAUUCAUUGGGCGUAAAGGGUGCGUAGGCGGCGCGGUAAGUCGGGUGUGAAAUUUCGAGGCUUAACUUCGAAACUGCAUUCGAUACUGCCGUGCUUGAGGACUGGAGAGGAGACUGGAAUUUACGGUGUAGCGGUGAAAUGCGCAGAUAUCAGGAAGAACACCUAUGGCGAAAGCAGCUCUCUGGGACGGUACUGACGCUGAGACGCGAAAGCGUGGGGAGCGAACAGG